AAAUACCGGUUCUCGUUAGAUCACCGAAGUCAAGCAUCAUUGGGCGCGGUCAGUUUGGGUGGUGACCACCUGGCAACACCGCGUGCCGUU
RNAcentral lists this ribosomal RNA (90 nucleotides) under Caerostris extrusa. Lineage: Eukaryota; Metazoa; Arthropoda; Arachnida; Araneae; Araneidae. The record is from RNAcentral.